RNAcentral lists this ribosomal RNA (1411 nucleotides) under Staphylococcus haemolyticus. RNAcentral's name for it is "bacterial SSU rRNA". It matches the Rfam family "Bacterial small subunit ribosomal RNA". The record is from RNAcentral. Lineage: Bacteria; Bacillati; Bacillota; Bacilli; Caryophanales; Staphylococcaceae.
AGUCGAGCGAACAGACAAGGAGCUUGCUCCUUUGACGUUAGCGGCGGACGGGUGAGUAACACGUGGGUAACCUACCUAUAAGACUGGGAUAACUUCGGGAAACCGGAGCUAAUACCGGAUAAUAUUUCGAACCGCAUGGUUCGAUAGUGAAAGAUGGUUUUGCUAUCACUUAUAGAUGGACCCGCGCCGUAUUAGCUAGUUGGUAAGGUAACGGCUUACCAAGGCGACGAUACGUAGCCGACCUGAGAGGGUGAUCGGCCACACUGGAACUGAGACACGGUCCAGACUCCUACGGGAGGCAGCAGUAGGGAAUCUUCCGCAAUGGGCGAAAGCCUGACGGAGCAACGCCGCGUGAGUGAUGAAGGUCUUCGGAUCGUAAAACUCUGUUAUUAGGGAAGAACAUACGUGUAAGUAACUAUGCACGUCUUGACGGUACCUAAUCAGAAAGCCACGGCUAACUACGUGCCAGCAGCCGCGGUAAUACGUAGGUGGCAAGCGUUAUCCGGAAUUAUUGGGCGUAAAGCGCGCGUAGGCGGUUUUUUAAGUCUGAUGUGAAAGCCCACGGCUCAACCGUGGAGGGUCAUUGGAAACUGGAAAACUUGAGUGCAGAAGAGGAAAGUGGAAUUCCAUGUGUAGCGGUGAAAUGCGCAGAGAUAUGGAGGAACACCAGUGGCGAAGGCGACUUUCUGGUCUGUAACUGACGCUGAUGUGCGAAAGCGUGGGGAUCAAACAGGAUUAGAUACCCUGGUAGUCCACGCCGUAAACGAUGAGUGCUAAGUGUUAGGGGGUUUCCGCCCCUUAGUGCUGCAGCUAACGCAUUAAGCACUCCGCCUGGGGAGUACGACCGCAAGGUUGAAACUCAAAGGAAUUGACGGGGACCCGCACAAGCGGUGGAGCAUGUGGUUUAAUUCGAAGCAACGCGAAGAACCUUACCAAAUCUUGACAUCCUUUGACAACUCUAGAGAUAGAGCCUUCCCCUUCGGGGGACAAAGUGACAGGUGGUGCAUGGUUGUCGUCAGCUCGUGUCGUGAGAUGUUGGGUUAAGUCCCGCAACGAGCGCAACCCUUAAGCUUAGUUGCCAUCAUUAAGUUGGGCACUCUAAGUUGACUGCCGGUGACAAACCGGAGGAAGGUGGGGAUGACGUCAAAUCAUCAUGCCCCUUAUGAUUUGGGCUACACACGUGCUACAAUGGACAAUACAAAGGGCAGCGAAACCGCGAGGUCAAGCAAAUCCCAUAAAGUUGUUCUCAGUUCGGAUUGUAGUCUGCAACUCGACUACAUGAAGCUGGAAUCGCUAGUAAUCGUAGAUCAGCAUGCUACGGUGAAUACGUUCCCGGGUCUUGUACACACCGCCCGUCACACCACGAGAGUUUGUAACACCCGAAGCCGGUGGAGUAACCAUUGGAGCUAGC